RNAcentral lists this ribosomal RNA (483 nucleotides) under uncultured bacterium. RNAcentral describes it as "partial 16S ribosomal RNA". It matches the Rfam family "Bacterial small subunit ribosomal RNA", at positions 28 to 507 of the family's 1533-position model. The record is from RNAcentral.
GACGAACGCUGGCGGCGUGCUUAACACAUGCAAGUCGAACGCUGAAGCUCAGCUUUUGUUGGGUGGAUGAGUGGCGAACGGGUGAGUAACACGUGAGUAACCUGCCCCCUUCUUUGGGAUAACGCCCGGAAACGGGUGCUAAUACUGGAUAUUCACUGGUCUUCGCAUGGGGGUUGGUGGAAAGGGUUUUUCUGGUGGGGGAUGGGCUCGCGGCCUAUCAGCUUGUUGGUGGGGUGAUGGCCUACCAAGGCUUUGACGGGUAGCCGGCCUGAGAGGGUGACCGGUCACAUUGGGACUGAGAUACGGCCCAGACUCCUACGGGAGGCAGCAGUGGGGAAUAUUGCACAAUGGGCGCAAGCCUGAUGCAGCGACGCCGCGUGAGGGAUGGAGGCCUUCGGGUUGUGAACCUCUUUCGCUCAUGGUCAAGCCGCGACAAUGGUUGUGGUGAGGGUAGUGGGUAAAGAAGCGCCGGCUAACUACGUG